RNAcentral lists this unclassified non-coding RNA (277 nucleotides) under Hevea brasiliensis (rubber tree). Lineage: Eukaryota; Viridiplantae; Streptophyta; Magnoliopsida; Malpighiales; Euphorbiaceae. The record is from RNAcentral.
CUCUUCCUAGCUAGGUCCCCACUCUCUCUCUCUCUAAGCAACCUUCUUGUUCCUGAUACGUUUUAUCACAAGCCCAUAUGUAUAACAUCAUCAUCUUCAUACAUCUCUCUGUACAGACACAGAGACAGUAGAGGAUAAUCUGUGUUAAAAAGGACCAUGAUCUCUGCGUUUCUUUGACUCUCUAUAGUUUUUACUUUCACUGUUUCUACUGCAUCAAGUACCAACCACCAGUCUUCUCUCUCUCCCCCCUUUCUCUUUCUCUAUAUAGUCUGCACCU